GUCCUCGUGGAGCAGCGGAGUGCUCGCUUGCCUGUCACGCAAGAGGUCGUCGGUUCAAAUCCGAUCGGGGACGC
Molecule: transfer RNA, 74 nt
Filed under: Stieleria magnilauensis
Lineage: Bacteria; Pseudomonadati; Planctomycetota; Planctomycetia; Pirellulales; Pirellulaceae
Also listed under: 3 other names
Description: Planctomycetes bacterium TBK1r tRNA-Asp
Rfam family: tRNA
About the family: Transfer RNA (tRNA) molecules are approximately 80 nucleotides in length. Their secondary structure includes four short double-helical elements and three loops (D, anti-codon, and T loops).
Source: RNAcentral